RNAcentral lists this ribosomal RNA (463 nucleotides) under uncultured bacterium. RNAcentral's name for it is "partial 16S ribosomal RNA". It matches the Rfam family "Bacterial small subunit ribosomal RNA", at positions 28 to 507 of the family's 1533-position model. The record is from RNAcentral.
GACGAACGCUGGCGGCGUGCUUAACACAUGCAAGUCGAACGGAAAGGCCUUUUCGGCGGUACUCGAGUGGCGAACGGGUGAGUAACACGUGGGUGAUCUGCCCUGCACUCUGGGAUAAGCCUGGGAAACUGGGUCUAAUACCGGAUAGGACCGCACUUUAGUGUGUGUGGUGGAAAGGUUUUUCGGUGUAGGAUGAGCCCGCGGCCUAUCAGCUUGUUGGUGGGGUAAUGGCCUACCAAGGCGGCGACGGGUAGCCGGACUGAGAGGUUGGUCGGCCACAUUGGGACUGAGAUACGGCCCAGACUCCUACGGGAGGCAGCAGUGGGGAAUAUUGCACAAUGGGCGCAAGCCUGAUGCAGCGACGCCGCGUGGGGGAUGACGGCCUUCGGGUUGUAAACUCCUUUCGCCAGGGACGAAGCGUUUUGUGACGGUACCUGGAGAAGAAGCACCGGCUAACUACGUG